AGAGUUUGAUCCUGGCUCAGAUUGAACGCUGGCGGCAGGCCUAACACAUGCAAGUCGGGCGGUAACAGGGAGAAGCUUGCUUUUCUGCUGACGAGCGGCGGACGGGUGAGUAAUGUAUGGGGAUCUGCCUGAUGGAGGGGGAUAACUACUGGAAACGGUAGCUAAUACCGCAUAAUGUCCACGGACCAAAGCAGGGGACCUUCGGGCCUUGCGCGAUUGGAUAUGCCCAGGUGGGAUUAGCUAGUUGGUGAGGUAAUGGCUCACCAAGGCGACGAUCCCUAGCUGGUCUGAGAGGAUGAUCAGCCACACUGGAACUGAGACACGGUCCAGACUCCUACGGGAGGCAGCAGUGGGGAAUAUUGCACAAUGGGGGAAACCCUGAUGCAGCCAUGCCGCGUGUGUGAAGAAGGCCUUCGGGUUGUAAAGUACUUUCAGCGAGGAGGAAGGCAUUAAGGUUAAUAACCUUAGUGAUUGACGUUACUCGCAGAAGAAGCACCGGCUAACUCCGUGCCAGCCGCCGCGGUAAUAC
This 529-nucleotide ribosomal RNA is filed under the name uncultured bacterium. Its description in RNAcentral is "bacterial SSU rRNA". It matches the Rfam family "Bacterial small subunit ribosomal RNA", at positions 8 to 526 of the family's 1533-position model. The record is from RNAcentral.